CACGUAGGGGGCUAGCGUUGUCCGGAAUCAUUGGGCGUAAAGCGCGCGUAGGCGGCCCGGUAAGUCCGCUGUGAAAGUCCAGGGCUCAACCCUGGAAAGCCGGUGGAUACUGCCGGGCUAGAGUCCGGGAGAGGCGAGUGGAAUUCCUGGUGUAGCGGUGGAAUGCGUAGAUAUCGGAAGGAACACCUGUGGCGAAAGCGGCUCUCUGGACCACAACUGACGCUGAGGCGCGAAAGCUAGGGGAGCAAACAGG
RNAcentral lists this ribosomal RNA (253 nucleotides) under uncultured bacterium. RNAcentral's name for it is "partial 16S ribosomal RNA". It matches the Rfam family "Bacterial small subunit ribosomal RNA", at positions 524 to 776 of the family's 1533-position model. The record is from RNAcentral.